This 274-nucleotide ribosomal RNA is filed under the name uncultured bacterium. RNAcentral's name for it is "partial 16S ribosomal RNA". It matches the Rfam family "Bacterial small subunit ribosomal RNA", at positions 337 to 607 of the family's 1533-position model. The record is from RNAcentral.
UCCUACGGGGGGCAGCAGUGAGGAAUAUUGGUCAAUGGGCGCGAGCCUGAACCAGCCAAGUCGCGUGAGGGAGGACGGCCCUACGGGUUGUAAACCUCUUUUGCCGGGGAGCAACGGGCGUCACGUGUGGCGCCACUGAGAGUACCCGGAGAAAAAGCAUCGGCUAACUCCGUGCCAGCAGCCGCGGUAAUACGGAGGAUGCGAGCGUUAUCCGGAUUUAUUGGGCGUAAAGCGAGCGCAGGCGGUUGCUUUGGUCUGAUGUGAAAGCCUUCGG